RNAcentral lists this ribosomal RNA (841 nucleotides) under Arthrobacter sp. RNAcentral describes it as "bacterial SSU rRNA". It matches the Rfam family "Bacterial small subunit ribosomal RNA", at positions 26 to 880 of the family's 1533-position model. The record is from RNAcentral. Lineage: Bacteria; Bacillati; Actinomycetota; Actinomycetes; Micrococcales; Micrococcaceae.
AGAUGACGCUGCGGCGUGCUUAACACAUGCAAGUCGAACGAUGAUCUCCAGCUUGCUGGGGGGAUUAGUGGCGAACGGGUGAGUAACACGUGAGUAACCUGCCCUUGACUCUGGGAUAAGCCUGGGAAACUGGGUCUAAUACCGGAUACGACCGUCCCGCGCAUGCGGUGGUGGUGGAAAGCUUUUGCGGUUUUGGAUGGACUCGCGGCCUAUCAGCUUGUUGGUGGGGUAAUGGCCUACCAAGGCGACGACGGGUAGCCGGCCUGAGAGGGUGACCGGCCACACUGGGACUGAGACACGGCCCAGACUCCUACGGGAGGCAGCAGUGGGGAAUAUUGCACAAUGGGCGAAAGCCUGAUGCAGCGACGCCGCGUGAGGGAUGACGGCCUUCGGGUUGUAAACCUCUUUCAGUAGGGAAGAAGCGAAAGUGACGGUACCUGCAGAAGAAGCGCCGGCUAACUACGUGCCAGCAGCCGCGGUAAUACGUAGGGCGCAAGCGUUAUCCGGAAUUAUUGGGCGUAAAGAGCUCGUAGGCGGUUUGUCGCGUCUGCUGUGAAAGACCGGGGCUCAACUCCGGUUCUGCAGUGGGUACGGGCAGACUAGAGUGAUGUAGGGGAGACUGGAAUUCCUGGUGUAGCGGUGAAAUGCGCAGAUAUCAGGAGGAACACCGAUGGCGAAGGCAGGUCUCUGGGCAUUAACUGACGCUGAGGAGCGAAAGCAUGGGGAGCGAACAGGAUUAGAUACCCUGGUAGUCCAUGCCGUAAACGUUGGGCACUAGGUGUGGGGGACAUUCCACGUUUUCCGCGCCGUAGCUAACGCAUUAAGUGCCCCGCCUGGAGAG